Gopherus agassizii (Agassiz's desert tortoise) is the source of this 102-nucleotide small nuclear RNA. NCBI's taxonomy places the organism in Eukaryota, Metazoa, Chordata, Testudines, Testudinidae. The record is from Ensembl.
GGGCUCGGCAGCAUAUAUACUAAAACUGGAAUGAUACAGAGAAGAUUAGCAUGGCCCCUGCACAAGGAUGACAUGCAAAUUCAUGAAGCGUUCGGUCAUGAG